CCUACGGGUGGCUGCAGUGGGGGAUAUUGCACAAUGGGGGAAACCCUGAUGCAGCUACGCCGCGUGAGUGAAGACGUAUUUCGGUAUGUAAAGCUCUAUCAGCAGGGAAGAAAAUGACAGUACCUGACCAAGAAGCCCCGGCUAACUACGUGACAGCAGCCGCGGUAAUACGUAGGGGGCAAGCGUUAGCCGGAUUUACUGGGUGUAAAGGUAGCGUAGACGGUUAUGUAAGUCUGGAGUGAAAGCCCCGGGCUUAACCCCGGGACUGCUUAGGAGACUGUGUGACUGGAGUGCAGGAGGGGCAGGCGGAAUUCCAGGUGUAGCAGUGAAAUGCGUAGAUAUGAGGAAGAACACCGACGGCGAAGGCAGCCUGCUGGGCUGAAACUGACGUUGAGGCUCGAAAGCGUGGGGAGCAAACAGGAUUAGAUACCCGGGUAGUC
RNAcentral lists this ribosomal RNA (440 nucleotides) under uncultured bacterium. Its description in RNAcentral is "partial 16S ribosomal RNA". It matches the Rfam family "Bacterial small subunit ribosomal RNA", at positions 338 to 795 of the family's 1533-position model. The record is from RNAcentral.